UACGAAGGGGGCUAGCGUUGUUCGGAAUUACUGGGCGUAAAGGGCGCGUAGGCGGUACUUCAAGUCAGGCGUGAAAGCCCCGGGCUCAACCUGGGGACUGCGCUUGAGACUGGAGAACUAGAGUUCGGGAGAGGAUGGUGGAAUUCCCAGUGUAGAGGUGAAAUUCGUAGAUAUUGGGAAGAACACCGAUGGCGAAGGCAGCCAUCUGGACCGACACUGACGCUGAGGCGCGAAAGCGUGGGGAGCAAACAGG
Molecule: ribosomal RNA, 253 nt
Filed under: uncultured bacterium
Lineage: Bacteria
Description: partial 16S ribosomal RNA
Rfam family: Bacterial small subunit ribosomal RNA
Source: RNAcentral